GAUCACUGCAACAAGUCCAAGAGUCCACUUGCUCCGCACCUUGCCCUUUCCUAGGUUUGGCUGCAAGAUACAACAAUUUGAGUAAGGACAGAGAUGGGAAGGCUGGGCUAGGCUCCACGACAGCUGAAGCUCAGAUGAGGGAACAAGACUUUCCCAACAUUUUCUGAAGUGAUAAGGAAACAAGAAGAGACAGGAAAGAGACAAGUUUCUAUUUCGUCAGAAACGAGAAGAGAACAGGCCAAGAGGAGAUGGCUCAGCACGUAAAGGCACCUGCCACCAAGCCUGACAACCUGAGGUUUUGGUCCUUGGACCCACAUGGUGGCGAAAUGGUGUGUGCACCUACCUACAUGCACACAUACAAAUAAAUAAAAAUGUAGUGAUUUUUUUUUUACUUUAA
Molecule: long non-coding RNA, 397 nt
Organism: Arvicola amphibius (Eurasian water vole)
Lineage: Eukaryota; Metazoa; Chordata; Mammalia; Rodentia; Cricetidae
Exons: 2
Source: RefSeq, a predicted model, not a curated record